CACUCACUGUCCCACCCACCUGUGUGUCCCACGCCCCAGGUCUCUCCCCCAUGGGUGCCCAGUUACCCCAAGAUGUCUACAAGCCUUAGGGGAAGAGAGGGAGGUUUGUAGACUGGCUCCCGGGGGACCUGCCCUGGGCAGGGUCAGCCAGACUAACAGGCUUCAUCCUUCCAUCUGCCCCAGCCCCAGGCCGCCGCGGCCCCGCAGCGCUGGUCUCCGAAGUCUUCGAGCAGCACCUGGGAGGUCACAUCUUGCAGUCCCUGGAUGGCUUUGUGUUCGCCUUGAACCAGGAAGGAAAAUUCCUCUACAUCUCAGAGACAGUCUCCAUCUAUCUGGGUCUCUCACAGGUGGAGAUGACGGGCAGCAGCGUCUUCGACUACAUUCACCCUGGGGACCACUCAGAGGUGCUGGAGCAACUGGGGCUGCGGACGCCGACGCCCGGCCCCCCAACCCCGCCCUCCGUCUCCUCUUCCUCCUCCUCUUCCUCUUCGCUUGCAGAUACCCCCG
RNAcentral lists this long non-coding RNA (507 nucleotides) under Pan troglodytes (chimpanzee). RNAcentral's name for it is "long non-coding RNA NONPTRT008160". Lineage: Eukaryota; Metazoa; Chordata; Mammalia; Primates; Hominidae. The record is from RNAcentral.